Phyllopteryx taeniolatus (common seadragon) is the source of this 635-nucleotide long non-coding RNA. RefSeq lists it as uncharacterized. The transcript is spliced from 3 exons. NCBI's taxonomy places the organism in Eukaryota, Metazoa, Chordata, Actinopteri, Syngnathiformes, Syngnathidae. The record is from RefSeq and is a predicted model, not a curated record.
GCCCACACUCACGUACGUCUUUAGCGUGCUCCAGGAACCAUGCUUUGGCCGACUCGGCGUUGGUGAUGGUCUCCUGGGUGGUGAAGGUCUGACAAAAAUCACCAAGGGGAAGACAAAACUACCAUUAAAUGGAAAAAACGUUGCAAACCCCCCCCCCCCUUCCGUUGGAUCCCUACAGCACCUUGGAGGCAAUGAUGAAGAGCGUGGUCUCGGCGUUGAGCUGCGCUAGCGUCUUGGCGAUGUGCGUCCCGUCAAUGUUGGACACAAACCACACGGCAGGCCCGUCCUUAGAGUACGGUUUCAGGGCCUCGGUCACCAUCAGGGGCCCCUGCCGUUCGACAGAUCAUGUUAAAUGGUGUACCCCGCCUCCUGCCCGAUGAUAGCUGGGAUAGGCUGCGGCACGCCCGCGACCGUAGUGAGGAGAAGCGGCCCAGAAAAUGGAUGGAUGGAUGGAUUACCUCGCCAUUGUGAGGCUUCAAACAGGAUGUUUUCAGAGGGUAGUGGACACUGAGCUUAGUGUGUCACAGAACUUAGCGAUACAGAGGCUGGAAGACUCAAAGAAAGGCAUUGAACUAGACGUUGUGGUAAUUUCUGUUUGUGCAUGUGAGCUGAAGAAAUAAAGUAUCUGACUCAGA